Molecule: ribosomal RNA, 877 nt
Filed under: Cordyceps kyushuensis
Lineage: Eukaryota; Fungi; Ascomycota; Sordariomycetes; Hypocreales; Cordycipitaceae
Description: LSU rRNA
Rfam family: Eukaryotic large subunit ribosomal RNA
Source: RNAcentral
UAUCAAUAAGCGGAGGAAAAGAAACCAACAGGGAUUGCCCCAGUAACGGCGAGUGAAGCGGCAACAGCUCAAAUUUGAAAUCUGGCCCCCGGGUCCGAGUUGUAAUUUGUAGAGGAUGCUUUUGGCGAGGUGCCUUCCGAGUUCCCUGGAACGGGACGCCAUAGAGGGUGAGAGCCCCGUCUGGUCGGACACCGAGCCUCUGUAAAGCUCCUUCGACGAGUCGAGUAGUUUGGGAAUGCUGCUCAAAAUGGGAGGUAUAUGUCUUCUAAAGCUAAAUAUUGGCCAGAGACCGAUAGCGCACAAGUAGAGUGAUCGAAAGAUGAAAAGCACUUUGAAAAGAGGGUUAAAAAGUACGUGAAAUUGUUGAAAGGGAAGCGCCUAUGACCAGACUUGGGCCCGGUGAAUCACCCAGCGUUCUCGCUGGUGCACUUCGCCGGGCACAGGCCAGCAUCAGUUUGGCGCGGGGGAGAAAGGCUUCGGGAAUGUGGCUCCCCCGGGAGUGUUAUAGCCCGUUGCGCAAUACCCUGCGCUGGACUGAGGUACGCGCAUUCGCAAGGAUGCUGGCGUAAUGGUCAUCAGCGACCCGUCUUGAAACACGGACCAAGGAGUCGUCUUCGUAUGCGAGUGUUCGGGUGUCAAACCCCUACGCGUAAUGAAAGUGAACGCAGGUGAGAGCUUCGGCGCAUCAUCGACCGAUCCUGAUGUUCUCGGAUGGAUUUGAGUAAGAGCAUACGGGGCCGGACCCGAAAGAAGGUGAACUAUGCCUGUAUAGGGUGAAGCCAGAGGAAACUCUGGUGGAGGCUCGCAGCGGUUCUGACGUGCGAAUCGAUCGUCAAAUAUGGGCAUGGGGGCGAAAGACUAAUCGAACCUUCUAGUA